This 254-nucleotide ribosomal RNA is filed under the name uncultured bacterium. RNAcentral describes it as "partial 16S ribosomal RNA". It matches the Rfam family "Bacterial small subunit ribosomal RNA", at positions 524 to 776 of the family's 1533-position model. The record is from RNAcentral.
UACGUAGGGUGCAAGCGUUAAUCGGAAUUACUGGGCGUAAAGCGUGCGCAGGCGGUUGUGCAAGACCGAUGUGAAAUCCCCGGGCUUAACCUGGGAAUGGCAUUGGUGACUGCACGGCUAGAGUGUGUCAGAGGGGGGUAGAAUUCCACGUGUAGCAGUGAAAUGCGUAGAGAUGUGGAGGAAUACCGAUGGCGAAGGCAGCCCCCUGGGAUAACACUGACGCUCAUGCACGAAAAGCGUGGGGAGCAAACAGG